GCAAAACAGUAUAUGCCCUUCUCAUACUCAAGACAUGUUCUCCAAUCCUGUUUCAGUGACCUUCUUGGUGAUCGGUGUCUUCGUUUUCAUCAUGGGAGACUUUGUUUUCUAUUUUCUCAUUAACGUGGUGAUUCAACAGUGUAGACAGAGAAGAGCACUCCAUGGUAGAGAACAGCAGGAUCAUGAAGAGCUGAUGAAGGCGAGACUCCUGAAUGAGGAAGAGGAGGCUGGAAGUCUGGUUGCUGAGUUCAGAGACCCUAGGACAUCACGGAAGGAACCAGUGUGGCUGUGUUGAAACCGUCUAUGCUAUUGUCCAGGCUAGGGUUCUAAGACCACCACAGUGGUGACCAGAUGGGUCAGCACUGCAUUGUGUCCUCUUUUCCCACAAGGUGUCCCAUAAUAAACACUGUUCUCACCC
Myodes glareolus (Bank vole) is the source of this 418-nucleotide non-coding RNA. NCBI's taxonomy places the organism in Eukaryota, Metazoa, Chordata, Mammalia, Rodentia, Cricetidae. The record is from RefSeq and is a predicted model, not a curated record.